This 406-nucleotide ribosomal RNA is filed under the name uncultured bacterium. RNAcentral's name for it is "bacterial SSU rRNA". It matches the Rfam family "Bacterial small subunit ribosomal RNA", at positions 355 to 776 of the family's 1533-position model. The record is from RNAcentral.
UCGGGAAUAUUGCGCAAUGGAGGAAACUCUGACGCAGCGACGCCGCGUAUGGGAAGAAGGUUUUCGGAUUGUAAACCAUUGUCGUUAGGGAAGAAGAAGUGACAGUACCUAAGGAGGAAGCUCCGGCUAACUAUGUGCCAGCAGCCGCGGUAAUACAUAGGGAGCGAGCGUUAUCCGGAUUUAUUGGGUGUAAAGGGUGCGUAGACGGGAAUACAAGUUGGUUGUGAAAGCCCUCGGCUUAACUGAGGAACUGCAACCAAAACUAUAUUUCUUGAGUAUCGGAGAGGAAAGUGGAAUUCCUAGUGUAGCGGUGAAAUGCGUAGAUAUUAGGAGGAACACCAGUGGCGAAGGCGACUUUCUGGACGAAAACUGACGUUGAGGCACGAAAGUGUGGGGAGCAAACAGG